GCCUGACUGGCUCACUUGGAAGAGCUUGUGACUCUUGAUCUCAGGGUUGUGAGUUUGAGCCCCACAUUGGGUA
This 73-nucleotide transfer RNA is filed under the name Canis lupus familiaris (dog). It matches the Rfam family "tRNA". Rfam says of the family: Transfer RNA (tRNA) molecules are approximately 80 nucleotides in length. The record is from Rfam by way of RNAcentral. RNAcentral also lists the same sequence under 1 other name. Lineage: Eukaryota; Metazoa; Chordata; Mammalia; Carnivora; Canidae.